Molecule: ribosomal RNA, 603 nt
Filed under: Triticum aestivum (bread wheat)
Lineage: Eukaryota; Viridiplantae; Streptophyta; Magnoliopsida; Poales; Poaceae
Description: partial small subunit ribosomal RNA
Source: RNAcentral
AUGCUGUGGCCGUGGCUCGAGGGCCUGGAUUUGGCCGUCGUUAGAAAGUACGCGAUAGAUGGGAUUUGGAAGCUGAUUAAAUCUGCAAAUUCUUUGCCGUUGACUCCGGCAUUGUCUGUCAACUACCUUGAUAGGUUCCUCUUCGUCUAUCCCUUUCCUGAAGGCAAAGCGUGGGUGACACGGCUCUUGGCAGUGGCUCGCUUUUGUCUCGCUUUAAAGAUGGAGGAGACCUAUGUGUCACUCCCCAUGGACCUGCAGGUGAUUGAGGCAAAGUCUGCUUUGGAGGCAAUGACCAUAAAAAGGAUGGAGCGGUUACUGCUUGCUCAUUUAUUGACUACUUCCUUCGCAACUUCAAUCAUCAUGACGCACCCUCCAUGCUCGCAUUCACCCGCACGACCGACUCCAUCCCGAGCACAGCUAAAGGAGCGAGUGUUAAGAUGCCACAAAUUGAUUCAGGACAAGAUAACAAUGGGAACCACUGUCAUCAAAUCGGUUGGAUCAUCAAUGUUCUAUGUGCCGCAAAGCCCGAUAGGCGUGUUGGAUGCUGUUGUAUGUCUCAGCCAACAGAGUGAUGAUACUGUUGUUGGAUCUCUAGCAACAUGA